RNAcentral lists this ribosomal RNA (253 nucleotides) under uncultured bacterium. Its description in RNAcentral is "partial 16S ribosomal RNA". It matches the Rfam family "Bacterial small subunit ribosomal RNA", at positions 524 to 776 of the family's 1533-position model. The record is from RNAcentral.
UACGUAGGGAGCGAGCGUUAUCCGGAAUUAUUGGGUGUAAAGGGUGCGUAGACGGGUAAAUAAGUUAGUUGUGAAAUCCCUCGGCUCAACUGAGGAACUGCAACUAAAACUGUAUAUCUUGAGUGCGGGAGAGGAAAGUGGAAUUCCUAGUGUAGCGGUGAAAUGCGUAGAUAUUAGGAGGAACACCAGUGGCGAAGGCGACCUUCUGGACCGUAACUGACGUUGAGGCACGAAAGUGUGGGGAGCAAACAGG